ACAAUAGGCCGUCAGUGGGACAUCAUAGAGGGUGACAAUCCCGUCCUUGACGCUAAUGUGCAAGUCCGUUACGAUGGCUAUCUCAGAGAGUCGAGCAGUUUGGGAUUUGCUGCUUAAACAUGGGAGGUAGAUUCCUUCUAAAGCUAAAUACAGGCGAGAGACCGAUAGAGAACAAGUACCGCAAGGGAAAGAUGAAAUAGCACUCUGUGAAGGGAGUCAAAAGACGUGAAAUUGUUGCGAGAGAAGCGAUUCAAGUCAGCGUAGCUAGGCCCAUUAAGCCUCUUUGCUUUGGACUAGCUUUGCCAGCGGUCUUGUCCUAGAGACUUGACUUGUAAAUGUCCAGCCUGGUUUGCACAGGUAGCCCCCCUCUGGGGGGGGUCAGUGGCAUGGCUGGUGGAAUGGCUUGCAAUCGACCCGUCUUGAAACACGGACCAAGGAGUCUAACAUGUAUGCGAGUAUAAGGGUGGCAAACCCGUAUGCGCAAUGAAAGUGAUUUUCGGUGAUUGAGAAUGGCCUGAUGACCAGACAAGCAAUACAUGUCCCUCGUACGGCCAUUGCCCAAGUUCCGUGGUAGAUCCCAUGAACAUGGAGUUGGAGCAUACAUGCUAGGACCCGAAAGAUGGUGAACUAUGCCUGGACAAAGCGAAGCCAAAGGAAACUCUGGUGGAGGCUUGUAGCGAUUCUGACGUGCAAAUCGAUCGUCUGAUCUGGGUAUA
RNAcentral lists this ribosomal RNA (716 nucleotides) under Cantharellus chicagoensis. RNAcentral describes it as "eukaryotic LSU rRNA". It matches the Rfam family "Eukaryotic large subunit ribosomal RNA", at positions 178 to 919 of the family's 3401-position model. The record is from RNAcentral. Lineage: Eukaryota; Fungi; Basidiomycota; Agaricomycetes; Cantharellales; Hydnaceae.